Molecule: long non-coding RNA, 2843 nt
Filed under: Olea europaea subsp. europaea
Lineage: Eukaryota; Viridiplantae; Streptophyta; Magnoliopsida; Lamiales; Oleaceae
Source: RNAcentral
GGGCGAUGAUUUUAGUUAGAAAAGUAAGCUCUGGGAAAUGGAUUGUCACAAAAUUUGUCAAGGAGCAUACACAUCCUCUAUAUCCCGGCAAAGGUCGUAAGGAUCUAAUCUAUGAUCAAUAUCCCGUAAGUACGUGCUUGCUUAAUUGUGAAGUUCUUCCAACACAUGUACAUCAAUCACUUCUAUUUUUAUUUUUAUUUUUUUCCAAAUAUUCUGUUUUUGCUUUUUACAUUUUGUGGGCACUCAAUGGUUCAUCACUAAACUCAGCUACAUGUUUUUAUUACUGAUAAAAAUCAUUACCUCAUAAUUUUAUGCAAUUCUGGAAUAAUUUUGAUAACAGCUAUCCCAGCAAUGCAUUAUGUAAUUAUAUUUUUAUAAAAAUUUGAGUCAUGCAAGUGUUAUUGCUCUGUUGGUUGAAAACUAUGUUGAGAUGCUCUUCAUGGCAGUGGAUUAGUACCUAAACUCUGAGAACAAAUCGACUAAGGGAGGUGGAAUCAAGCUAGACAAUUUACAUCAACCACACCAAGAAAAAUGCUUGAUUUGCUAUGGCAAUUAUGUCGCUGUAUGAAUGUGAAGUGUAUAAAAGAAAUCAAAAUCCACGACCCUCUUAAUUUGUUAUGAAAUAUAUCAUUGGCAGUUGUAUACAACCUAGACAUACUUUAUCUUCAAAUAAAGAUAUUGCAUGGUUCCUCAUAAAUUCAUUAACAGAAAUUUUUAAAGGGAAUGUCGAAUAUUUACCUAACUAAAAAGACAUUAAAUUUAAACAACUUUUGACUUUUCAUUAAUUAUUGUGCAGUGACAAUAUAGAAAAUUUUAUUCUCCUUUUUGAGCUACUUUGCUCUUCAUCAAGUAUUUCAUAAAAAAAAUUAUGAAUAUCUCUAGGAUGUUUCCUAUAUUCUUGUUGAUCAGCUAUUUUAAUAAGCUGUAUUUUUUUGGUAAUCAUUAAUUUGCUGCCUAGAAUUUUGAAAUAUUUAUGUCUUUAUGUGUUUAUAGCACAUUUAUCCUUUUCAUAUUUCUCAUGGAUUACAAUUUCAUAAAUGGAGCCCCUUGUUUGAAUUACGUUAUGAAUAAAGUGUUCACAUAUUGGUUGAACCUGAUUGGCAAAAAAACAAUAUUGACUAAUGAUUCUAUGUCCUACGGCUCUCACCUAUUGGUGGCUAUUGAACUACAGUGUGGUUGCAACUUUGAUGCAAGGAUUUUCACAUUUUAGUAUUCAGCAGUGCAUGAGAUUGAUUUACUUAACUCCACAAAUUAACUUCUCUCUACUAUAUAAUUCUGGACUGCAAUAGUUCUGUGGAUAAGAAAGAAAUUGAAUUGCUUAAACCCAUGUAUGAUAGCUUCGUGGCCGUUGUUUCUUGAUGUUAGUACCCAUGCCAUGUGAUAUUUUAACAUAACUAAAGGGCUUUAAGCCCAUUCAUUCUAGGUGAUUGAGAGCAAAAUGUUUGGUUGAAUCUUGCUCAACUAGGUAUUAAAAUCAGGAACUACUUCAUUGUAAUUGAGUGAGAAUAAGAUUGUCUUAUUUUCAUAGUUGUGGAUUGAGAAUCAUCAGGUACAUGAGCUUCGCUUGAUGUGGCACUUGAGUCCAAGCUCGUGAUUAAUUUUUUUUUUCAUUAUAGUUACACCAGUUAAAUUAGAAUUUACUGGAGUUUGAAGUAUUUUCAUUUCGUUUUUUAAUUUAUUGUUAUGUAGUAGUUUAAACUUUGUCUAUGAUUUUCUUCUUGGUUUUUCUCUUUAGCAGAUAUCAAUUUAAUUUUCGUUAUAAGGUGGGAUUAUUGUAAGAAAAUGGUUAUUUCAACGUCCAUGCCAUGUGGCAAGUAUUCAAUGAGGAGGGCCAGGAGGCCAUGCAUUAAUUAUAUUAUUUUGAGGAAUUGGCAUCAUAUUCAUCAUUAGGGUAAAAGGUCAGAGUGAAAAUUCAGUUCGAUGUGAAGAAGGGGCUUUGGAGGGAUGGGAAUUUUAAAUUGCUUCAAUCAUUUGAGUAAAAGAAAUUACAAAUGAUUCAAGUUCGAUGCAUGGAACACAAGGAACUCCUAAUUAUGCUUUUGUUGUGUGCAAUGUCAGCAUCUCCUCUUUUGCACACAACUUACUAUCCAUUUAGUAUUCUUGCUUGGUAGUGCUUAUAAGUUGUAGGUACUACGAAAUAUUUGGAAAAUAAAUUUAUAAUAAGUUCUGGGUCUUAUAAUAUGUACUGAUAAAAAGUAUAUUUGAUCUAGUUGUGAUAGUGAAUGUCUAAUUUGCUCAAAAUUGUUUGAAUAUCGUAUGUAUACAUAGCCCCUGUUUGAGCCCCAUUAUCUCAAACUAAUCCAAAACUUUUUCUUAUUUUUUAACUAGAUAAUCUUCAAAAAAGUACUAUUACUAAAUUCAUUAUUUGUUAAAAUUGUCGCUCAAACGGGGGCUUAAUUCUCCUGUAUUAUGCGACUUAUGCCUAAGCAUAAAUGCGCUGGGUUAUUCAGAAUACUGAGUCUCUCUGCAAGGCAUUGUUCUUAAUUGUCUGAUUAGCCAAUUCUUGUGUUUACUUUUUCCUUUCAGGUCAGGCUCAUCCACCUUCUCUUUGAUGUAAUUUUCUUAUGAACACUGCAUUGAUUGAAUGGGUUGAUGUGCACAAUAAAUGUUCCGUCUAUAACAACUAUGACUUACCUCAUUUUUGAGUUGAGUCGAACAAAUAUUUUCUCUGCUGUCUUGAAUCAGUGUAUGCUCAACAUAAUCUUGUCUUACAAUAUGAAGUUUUGUGAUCUUUUUGUGCAGAAUGAGCACGAAAAAAUCCGGGAGCUAACACAGCAGCUGGCUAUUGAGAAACAGAAAGCCGCAACUUAUAAAAGGCAAUUAGAAAUGAUAUUUGAUGAUUA